GUCUAUGGCCAUACCAGCCUGAAAGAGCUGAUCUUGUCUGAUCUCGGAAGCUAAGCAGGGUCAGCCCUGGUUAGUACUUGGAUGGGAGAAAUAGGAGCAUGGGUGGGAGAGUGAGAUGCUGCACUCC
Molecule: ribosomal RNA, 127 nt
Filed under: Microcebus murinus (gray mouse lemur)
Lineage: Eukaryota; Metazoa; Chordata; Mammalia; Primates; Cheirogaleidae
Source: RNAcentral